This 2599-nucleotide ribosomal RNA is filed under the name Escherichia coli. Its description in RNAcentral is "partial 23S ribosomal RNA". It matches the Rfam family "Bacterial large subunit ribosomal RNA", at positions 354 to 2925 of the family's 2925-position model. Lineage: Bacteria; Pseudomonadati; Pseudomonadota; Gammaproteobacteria; Enterobacterales; Enterobacteriaceae. The record is from RNAcentral.
GCGAUACAGGGUGACAGCCCCGUACACAAAAAUGCACAUAUUGUGAGCUCGAUGAGUAGGGCGGGACACGUGGUAUCCUGUCUGAAUAUGGGGGGACCAUCCUCCAAGGCUAAAUACUCCUGACUGACCGAUAGUGAACCAGUACCGUGAGGGAAAGGCGAAAAGAACCCCGGCGAGGGGAGUGAAAAAGAACCUGAAACCGUGUACGUACAAGCAGUGGGAGCCUCUUUUAUGGGGUGACUGCGUACCUUUUGUAUAAUGGGUCAGCGACUUAUAUUCUGUAGCAAGGUUAACCGAAUAGGGGAGCCGAAGGGAAACCGAGUCUUAACUGGGCGUUAAGUUGCAGGGUAUAGACCCGAAACCCGGUGAUCUAGCCAUGGGCAGGUUGAAGGUUGGGUAACACUAACUGGAGGACCGAACCGACUAAUGUUGAAAAAUUAGCGGAUGACUUGUGGCUGGGGGUGAAAGGCCAAUCAAACCGGGAGAUAGCUGGUUCUCCCCGAAAGCUAUUUAGGUAGCGCCUCGUGAAUUCAUCUCCGGGGGUAGAGCACUGUUUCGGCAAGGGGGUCAUCCCGACUUACCAACCCGAUGCAAACUGCGAAUACCGGAGAAUGUUAUCACGGGAGACACACGGCGGGUGCUAACGUCCGUCGUGAAGAGGGAAACAACCCAGACCGCCAGCUAAGGUCCCAAAGUCAUGGUUAAGUGGGAAACGAUGUGGGAAGGCCCAGACAGCCAGGAUGUUGGCUUAGAAGCAGCCAUCAUUUAAAGAAAGCGUAAUAGCUCACUGGUCGAGUCGGCCUGCGCGGAAGAUGUAACGGGGCUAAACCAUGCACCGAAGCUGCGGCAGCGACACUAUGUGUUGUUGGGUAGGGGAGCGUUCUGUAAGCCUGUGAAGGUGUACUGUGAGGUAUGCUGGAGGUAUCAGAAGUGCGAAUGCUGACAUAAGUAACGAUAAAGCGGGUGAAAAGCCCGCUCGCCGGAAGACCAAGGGUUCCUGUCCAACGUUAAUCGGGGCAGGGUGAGUCGACCCCUAAGGCGAGGCCGAAAGGCGUAGUCGAUGGGAAACAGGUUAAUAUUCCUGUACUUGGUGUUACUGCGAAGGGGGGACGGAGAAGGCUAUGUUGGCCGGGCGACGGUUGUCCCGGUUUAAGCGUGUAGGCUGGUUUUCCAGGCAAAUCCGGAAAAUCAAGGCUGAGGCGUGAUGACGAGGCACUACGGUGCUGAAGCAACAAAUGCCCUGCUUCCAGGAAAAGCCUCUAAGCAUCAGGUAACAUCAAAUCGUACCCCAAACCGACACAGGUGGUCAGGUAGAGAAUACCAAGGCGCUUGAGAGAACUCGGGUGAAGGAACUAGGCAAAAUGGUGCCGUAACUUCGGGAGAAGGCACGCUGAUAUGUAGGUGAAGUCCCUCGCGGAUGGAGCUGAAAUCAGUCGAAGAUACCAGCUGGCUGCAACUGUUUAUUAAAAACACAGCACUGUGCAAACACGAAAGUGGACGUAUACGGUGUGACGCCUGCCCGGUGCCGGAAGGUUAAUUGAUGGGGUCAGCGCAAGCGAAGCUCUUGAUCGAAGCCCCGGUAAACGGCGGCCGUAACUAUAACGGUCCUAAGGUAGCGAAAUUCCUUGUCGGGUAAGUUCCGACCUGCACGAAUGGCGUAAUGAUGGCCAGGCUGUCUCCACCCGAGACUCAGUGAAAUUGAACUCGCUGUGAAGAUGCAGUGUACCCGCGGCAAGACGGAAAGACCCCGUGAACCUUUACUAUAGCUUGACACUGAACAUUGAGCCUUGAUGUGUAGGAUAGGUGGGAGGCUUUGAAGUGUGGACGCCAGUCUGCAUGGAGCCGACCUUGAAAUACCACCCUUUAAUGUUUGAUGUUCUAACGUGGACCCGUGAUCCGGGUUGCGGACAGUGUCUGGUGGGUAGUUUGACUGGGGCGGUCUCCUCCUAAAGAGUAACGGAGGAGCACGAAGGUUGGCUAAUCCUGGUCGGACAUCAGGAGGUUAGUGCAAUGGCAUAAGCCAGCUUGACUGCGAGCGUGACGGCGCGAGCAGGUGCGAAAGCAGGUCAUAGUGAUCCGGUGGUUCUGAAUGGAAGGGCCAUCGCUCAACGGAUAAAAGGUACUCCGGGGAUAACAGGCUGAUACCGCCCAAGAGUUCAUAUCGACGGCGGUGUUUGGCACCUCGAUGUCGGCUCAUCACAUCCUGGGGCUGAAGUAGGUCCCAAGGGUAUGGCUGUUCGCCAUUUAAAGUGGUACGCGAGCUGGGUUUAGAACGUCGUGAGACAGUUCGGUCCCUAUCUGCCGUGGGCGCUGGAGAAUUGAGGGGGGCUGCUCCUAGUACGAGAGGACCGGAGUGGACGCAUCACUGGUGUUCGGGUUGUCAUGCCAAUGGCACUGCCCGGUAGCUAAAUGCGGAAGAGAUAAGUGCUGAAAGCAUCUAAGCACGAAACUUGCCCCGAGAUGAGUUCUCCCUGACCCUUUAAGGGUCCUGAAGGAACGUUGAAGACGACGACGUUGAUAGGCCGGGUGUGUAAGCGCAGCGAUGCGUUGAGCUAACCGGUACUAAUGAACCGUGAGGCUUAACCUUACAACGCCGAAG